AUUGAACGCUGGCGGCAUGCUUUACACAUGCAAGUCGAACGGUAACAGGCCGCAAGGUGCUGACGAGUGGCGAACGGGUGAGUAAUGCAUCGGAACGUGCCCAGUCGUGGGGGAUAACGCAGCGAAAGCUGCGCUAAUACCGCAUACGAUCUCUGGAUGAAAGCGGGGGACCGAAAGGCCUCGCGCGAUUGGAGCGGCCGAUGUCAGAUUAGGUAGUUGGUGGGGUAAAGGCCCACCAAGCCAACGAUCUGUAGCUGGUCUGAGAGGACGACCAGCCACACUGGGACUGAGACACGGCCCAGACUCCUACGGGAGGCAGCAGUGGGGAAUUUUGGACAAUGGGCGCAAGCCUGAUCCAGCAAUGCCGCGUGCAGGAAGAAGGCCUUCGGGUUGUAAACUGCUUUUGUACGGAACGAAACGGUUCGGGUUAAUACCCUGGGCUAAUGACGGUACCGUAAGAAUAAGCACCGGCUAACUACGUGCCAGCCGCCGCAGUAA
Molecule: ribosomal RNA, 498 nt
Filed under: uncultured bacterium
Lineage: Bacteria
Description: partial 16S ribosomal RNA
Rfam family: Bacterial small subunit ribosomal RNA
Source: RNAcentral